AUUCUAUUUAUUUUGUAUUAUCAUUUGGUUGGUUGGUACUGGAGGAUUGGAAGCAUUUGUUAUAUAAAAAAAUUAUAGGUCCUGAUGGAGUAGAGUCAGACUGGAUUGGGCUUUUCAGAAUCAAAGCACAAGAUCGUUCUUCAGUUUCUUUGCACAAACGCAGCAAAAAGUGCAGUUAGUGUAGGAUCCUCAGUGCUGUACGGAACCUAGCAGGCCCGUUAUUGCUAAUGCAAGCCAGCGAUUAACUUUUUUUGACCUUUGCCCUAAGAGCCGCAGAGCUUCGAGAGCAAGGUAUUCGAUAACCACCAGCAGACCAAUGAAUGAUGCUGAUGGAACCAGCUACUAAUUUGUUUAUUAGGCGACGCCUUUUCGUUCCAAAAACAUGUAUUUACAAUUAAUACCGCUCAUAGUGCAAGAUGCACACACACUUCCCCAACAGAUAAACGUUGCAUGCUCGCACAAAUAUUAGGCCAAAUGCAGAGUUUGCUACAGCCACAUAUUAAAAUUGCAACACGAAUGUAAACCAAACGUCCCAUUGCAUGGGCGAAUGAAGCCUGCUUUCCAAAUGAACAGGAUUCUAAUGUAAAUACUAUGUGGCUGCCAUUCUAAAAUAGAAUGUUUAAGGUUUUAGAAAGAACAGGAAAGGUUCAGCAGGAAAAAAAAACGUCUGUUUUGUGUGUAUGUAGUGUUUAUUAACUACCCAUACGUAAGGAGAAAGGUGCGCUGUGUGUUCUCUGUCAUCCUUUGAGUGACUCUUGUGUCUUUGUGCUGGUUGUGUUUUUAAUUACUUUUUUUUGUGUGUGUAAAAGGGCUGAAACAACCAUUUUGUAUUUAUCCUUAAUGUGGUCCAGCAGUCUUCCCUCAUAAUGUCUCUUGAUGUGCACAUUUUUCCGUGAUUCCUAUACAGUCCCUUGACUUGUUGAAAUCAACUUUGGUGGAUGUAUCCGAUUUGAAGUCCUGGUAAUGACCUUGCUGCUUUAUUAAGGAAAUAACCUGAGCUUUAAUUAGCACCGUCUGUGAUUGCAGCAUUAUCCUCGGUGGGGCUGCCAGCUCAAGAGGGCUUUUGUGAAAGGCAGGUGUAAGUGGCUCAGUGAGCUGGCAUGUGUACACGUUAUGCUUGGCUGAGCCAGCAUCCUGACAGCCUUUUAAUGAGGGUUUGGAUCUCAUGCUUUCUGUCUGCACCGUUUGCUGGAAGAUAAUCCUACUUUUCUGGGGUUUGAGUGUAGGGAUACAGACAGUGUAUGGGAAGGCUAGACUCCAGUUCCUGGUGAGAUUGUUGUAGUGUGGCGGGCACAAAACUGUGAAUGUAGUCAACCGCUUGACUAUGAAGCUCCAGUGGGUUAAAAGCCAGUUGGUCACCUCUAUUGUUGCCUUCAUUGUCUUAUCAGACCGUUGGCACUGUAUUCCAGUGCAUUAUCCCUUCAAUGCUAGCAAUGAUUAAUCGCCUUCAUUGCGUGUUAUUAAGCAAAAUAGAGAAGUGACUUCUUCCUUACUUGUAACUGAAGAAGAACUGCCUUGGUUUUAGUGAAGGUGUCGAGAUUAAUUUUUCUCCCAAGUUCAUCAGAAGAUGGGUGAUGUGAUGUGAGUUUCAGCUCAGGCGUGUUCGGCAGUACGUUAACCAGCAUUUAUGAAUAAUUUACCAGCAUGCCCAGUCCCCCAGAGACACCACCAGAUACCUUUUUGUUUUCUUUUUAAAUUUAGGAUUGUAUGAUGUGUAUGAGAAAGUAUAAAACCAAUAAAAUCACAAAGUUUAUUUUAAAUUUA
This is a long non-coding RNA of Sinocyclocheilus anshuiensis, 1764 nucleotides long. RefSeq lists it as uncharacterized. The transcript has 2 exons. The record is from RefSeq and is a predicted model, not a curated record. Lineage: Eukaryota; Metazoa; Chordata; Actinopteri; Cypriniformes; Cyprinidae.